GAGAUUCCCCCAGUAGCGGCGAGCGAACGGGGAGCAGCCCAGAGCCUGAAUCAGUGUGUGUGUUAGUGGAAGCGUCUGGAAAGGCGCGCGAUACAGGGUGACAGCCCCGUACACAAAAAUGCACAUGCUGUGAGCUCGAUGAGUAGGGCGGGACACGUGGUAUCCUGUCUGAAUAUGGGGGGACCAUCCUCCAAGGCUAAAUACUCCUGACUGACCGAUAGUGAACCAGUACCGUGAGGGAAAGGCGAAAAGAACCCCGGCGAGGGGAGUGAAAAAGAACCUGAAACCGUGUACGUACAAGCAGUGGGAGCACGCUUAGGCGUGUGACUGCGUACCUUUUGUAUAAUGGGUCAGCGACUUAUAUUCUGUAGCAAGGUUAACCGAAUAGGGGAGCCGAAGGGAAACCGAGUCUUAACUGGGCGUUAAGUUGCAGGGUAUAGACCCGAAACCCGGUGAUCUAGCCAUGGGCAGGUUGAAGGUUGGGUAACACUAACUGGAGGACCGAACCGACUAAUGUUGAAAAAUUAGCGGAUGACUUGUGGCUGGGGGUGAAAGGCCAAUCAAACCGGGAGAUAGCUGGUUCUCCCCGAAAGCUAUUUAGGUAGCGCCUCGUGAAUUCAUCUCCGGGGGUAGAGCACUGUUUCGGCAAGGGGGUCAUCCCGACUUACCAACCCGAUGCAAACUGCGAAUACCGGAGAAUGUUAUCACGGGAGACACACGGCGGGUGCUAACGUCCGUCGUGAAGAGGGAAACAACCCAGACCGCCAGCUAAGGUCCCAAAGUCAUGGUUAAGUGGGAAACGAUGUGGGAAGGCCCAGACAGCCAGGAUGUUGGCUUAGAAGCAGCCAUCAUUUAAAGAAAGCGUAAUAGCUCACUGGUCGAGUCGGCCUGCGCGGAAGAUGUAACGGGGCUAAACCAUGCACCGAAGCUGCGGCAGCGACGCUUAUGCGUUGUUGGGUAGGGGAGCGUUCUGUAAGCCUGUGAAGGUGUGCUGUGAGGCAUGCUGGAGGUAUCAGAAGUGCGAAUGCUGACAUAAGUAACGAUAAAGCGGGUGAAAAGCCCGCUCGCCGGAAGACCAAGGGUUCCUGUCCAACGUUAAUCGGGGCAGGGUGAGUCGACCCCUAAGGCGAGGCCGAAAGGCGUAGUCGAUGGGAAACAGGUUAAUAUUCCUGUACUUGGUGUUACUGCGAAGGGGGGACGGAGAAGGCUAUGUUGGCCGGGCGACGGUUGUCCCGGUUUAAGCGUGUAGGCUGGUUUUCCAGGCAAAUCCGGAAAAUCAAGGCUGAGGCGUGAUGACGAGGCACUACGGUGCUGAAGCAACAAAUGCCCUGCUUCCAGGAAAAGCCUCUAAGCAUCAGGUAACAUCAAAUCGUACCCCAAACCGACACAGGUGGUCAGGUAGAGAAUACCAAGGCGCUUGAGAGAACUCGGGUGAAGGAACUAGGCAAAAUGGUGCCGUAACUUCGGGAGAAGGCACGCUGAUAUGUAGGUGAAGUCCCUCGCGGAUGGAGCUGAAAUCAGUCGAAGAUACCAGCUGGCUGCAACUGUUUAUUAAAAACACAGCACUGUGCAAACACGAAAGUGGACGUAUACGGUGUGACGCCUGCCCGGUGC
Molecule: ribosomal RNA, 1614 nt
Filed under: Escherichia coli
Lineage: Bacteria; Pseudomonadati; Pseudomonadota; Gammaproteobacteria; Enterobacterales; Enterobacteriaceae
Description: bacterial LSU rRNA
Rfam family: Bacterial large subunit ribosomal RNA
Source: RNAcentral